This 492-nucleotide ribosomal RNA is filed under the name uncultured bacterium. Its description in RNAcentral is "partial 16S ribosomal RNA". It matches the Rfam family "Bacterial small subunit ribosomal RNA", at positions 29 to 507 of the family's 1533-position model. The record is from RNAcentral.
AGUGAACGCUGGCGGUAGGCCUAACACAUGCAAGUCGAACGGCAGCACAGUAAGAGCCUGCUCUUACGGGAGUCGAGUGGCGGACGGUUGCGUUCUAUAUCGGAUUCUACUUUUUCGUGGGGGAUAAUGCAGGGAAACUUACGCUAAUACCGCAUACGACCUACGGGUGAAAGCAGGGGAUCUUCGGACCUUGUGCGAUUGUAUGAGCCGAUGUCGGAUUAGCUAGUUGGCGGGGUAAAGGCACACCACGGCCACGAUCCGUAGCUGGUCUGAGAGGAUGAUCAGCCACACUGUAACUGAGACACGGUCCAGACUCCUACAGGGAGAAGCAGUGGAGAAUAUUGGGCGAUGGGGGAAAGCCUGAUCCAGCCAUACCGCGUGGGUGAAGAAGGACUUCGGGUUGGAGAGCCCUUUUGUUGGGAAAGAAGAGCAGCAGGUUAAGACCCCGCUGUUCUGACGGUACCCAAAGAAUAAGCACCGGCUAACUUCGUG